This 497-nucleotide ribosomal RNA is filed under the name uncultured bacterium. Its description in RNAcentral is "partial 16S ribosomal RNA". It matches the Rfam family "Bacterial small subunit ribosomal RNA", at positions 28 to 507 of the family's 1533-position model. The record is from RNAcentral.
GAUGAACGCUGGCGGCGUGCCUAAUACAUGCAAGUCGAGCGAACGGACGAGAAGCUUGCUUCUCUGAUGUUAGCGGCGGACGGGUGAGUAACACGUGGAUAACCUACCUAUAAGACUGGGAUAACUUCGGGAAACCGGAGCUACUACCGGAUAAUAUUUUGAACCACAUGGUUCAACAGUGAAAGAUGGUCUUGCUGUCACUUAUAGAUGGAUCCGCGCUGCAUUAGCUAGUUGGUAAGGUAACGGCUUACCAAGGCAACGAUGCAUAGCCGACCUGAGAGGGUGAUCGGCCACACUGGGAGUGAGACACGGUCCAGACUCCUACGGGAGGCAGCAGUAGGGAAUCUUCGGCAAUGGGCGAAAGCCUGACGGAGCAACGCCGCGUGAGUGAUGAAGGUCUUCGGAUCGUAAAACUCUGUUAUGAGGGAAGAACAUAUGUGUAAGUAACUGUGCACAUCUUGACGGUACCUAAUCAGAAAGCCCCGGCUAACUACGUG